AGAGUUUGAUCCUGGCUCAGGAUGAACGCUGCGGCGUGCCUAACACAUGCAAGUCGAACGGGGUUAUUUAGGAAAUUCCUUCGGGGAAUGGAAUCUUUAACCUAGUGGCGGACGGGUGAGUAACGCGUGAGCAAUCUGCCUUCGGAUGGGGGAUAACAGCCGGAAACGGCUGCUAAUACCGCAUAACACAUGGGAUCCGCAUGUUCCCAUGUCAAAGAUUUAUCGUCCGGAGAUGAGCUCGCGUCUGAUUAGCUGGUUGGCGGGGUAACGUCCCACCAAGGCGACGAUCAGUAGCCGGACUGAGAGGUUGAACGGCCACAUUGGGACUGAUACACGGCCCAGACUCCUACGGGAGGCAGCAGUGGGGAAUAUUGCGCAAUGGGGGCAACCCUGACGCAGCAACGCCGCGUGAUUGAAGAAGGCCUUCGGGUUGUAAAGAUCUUUAAUCGGGGACGAAUUUUGACGGUACCCGAAGAAUAAGCUCCGGCUAACUACGUG
RNAcentral lists this ribosomal RNA (498 nucleotides) under uncultured Butyricicoccus sp. Its description in RNAcentral is "bacterial SSU rRNA". It matches the Rfam family "Bacterial small subunit ribosomal RNA", at positions 8 to 507 of the family's 1533-position model. The record is from RNAcentral. Lineage: Bacteria; Bacillati; Bacillota; Clostridia; Eubacteriales; Butyricicoccaceae.